UACGUAUGGAGCAAGCGUUAUCCGGAUUUACUGGGUGUAAAGGGAGCGUAGGCGGCAUACCAAGCCUGAUGUGAAAACCCGGGGCCCAACCCCGGGAGUGCAUUGGGAACUGGCAAGCUAGAGUGUCGGAGAGGCAGGCGGAAUUCCUAGUGUGGCGGUGAAAUGCGUAGAUAUUAGGAGGAACACCAGUGGCGAAGGCGGCCUGCUGGACGAUGACUGACGCUGAGGCUCGAAAGCGUGGGGAGCAAACAGG
This 253-nucleotide ribosomal RNA is filed under the name uncultured bacterium. Its description in RNAcentral is "partial 16S ribosomal RNA". It matches the Rfam family "Bacterial small subunit ribosomal RNA", at positions 524 to 776 of the family's 1533-position model. The record is from RNAcentral.